UGGCUAAAAGACACAUGUGGUGCCAAU
This 27-nucleotide non-coding RNA is filed under the name Rattus norvegicus (Norway rat). The record is from RNAcentral. Lineage: Eukaryota; Metazoa; Chordata; Mammalia; Rodentia; Muridae.